RNAcentral lists this ribosomal RNA (2928 nucleotides) under Salmonella enterica subsp. enterica serovar Cerro. RNAcentral describes it as "LSU rRNA". It matches the Rfam family "Bacterial large subunit ribosomal RNA". The record is from RNAcentral. Lineage: Bacteria; Pseudomonadati; Pseudomonadota; Gammaproteobacteria; Enterobacterales; Enterobacteriaceae.
GGUUAAGCGACUAAGCGUACACGGUGGAUGCCCUGGCAGUCAGAGGCGAUGAAGGGCGUGCUAAUCUGCGAUAAGCGCCGGUAAGGUGAUAUGAACCGUUAUAACCGGCGAUACCCGAAUGGGGAAACCCAGUGUGACUCGUCACACUAUCAUUAACUGAAUCCAUAGGUUAAUGAGGCGAACCGGGGGAACUGAAACAUCUAAGUACCCCGAGGAAAAGAAAUCAACCGAGAUUCCCCCAGUAGCGGCGAGCGAACGGGGAGGAGCCCAGAGCCUGAAUCAGCAUGUGUGUUAGUGGAAGCGUCUGGAAAGGCGCGCGAUACAGGGUGACAGCCCCGUACACAAAAGCGCAUGUGCUGUGAGCUCGAUGAGUAGGGCGGGACACGUGGUAUCCUGUCUGAAUAUGGGGGGACCAUCCUCCAAGGCUAAAUACUCCUGACUGACCGAUAGUGAACCAGUACCGUGAGGGAAAGGCGAAAAGAACCCCGGCGAGGGGAGUGAAAAAGAACCUGAAACCGUGUACGUACAAGCAGUGGGAGCACAGGUUUACCUGUGUGACUGCGUACCUUUUGUAUAAUGGGUCAGCGACUUAUAUUCUGUAGCAAGGUUAACCGAAUAGGGGAGCCGGAGGGAAACCGAGUCUUAAUUGGGCGUUAAGUUGCAGGGUAUAGACCCGAAACCCGGUGAUCUAGCCAUGGGCAGGUUGAAGGUUGGGUAACACUAACUGGAGGACCGAACCGACUAAUGUUGAAAAAUUAGCGGAUGACCUGUGGCUGGGGGUGAAAGGCCAAUCAAACCGGGAGAUAGCUGGUUCUCCCCGAAAGCUAUUUAGGUAGCGCCUCGUGAAUUCAUCUCCGGGGGUAGAGCACUGUUUCGGCUAGGGGGCCAUCCCGGCUUACCAACCCGAUGCAAACUGCGAAUACCGGAGAAUGUUAUCACGGGAGACACACGGCGGGUGCUAACGUCCGUCGUGAAGAGGGAAACAACCCAGACCGCCAGCUAAGGUCCCAAAGUCAUGGUUAAGUGGGAAACGAUGUGGGAAGGCCCAGACAGCCAGGAUGUUGGCUUAGAAGCAGCCAUCAUUUAAAGAAAGCGUAAUAGCUCACUGGUCGAGUCGGCCUGCGCGGAAGAUGUAACGGGGCUAAACCAUGCACCGAAGCUGCGGCAGCGACGCUGAUGCGUUGUUGGGUAGGGGAGCGUUCUGUAAGCCUGCGAAGGUGUGCUGUGAGGCAUGCUGGAGGUAUCAGAAGUGCGAAUGCUGACAUAAGUAACGAUAAAGCGGGUGAAAAGCCCGCUCGCCGGAAGACCAAGGGUUCCUGUCCAACGUUAAUCGGGGCAGGGUGAGUCGACCCCUAAGGCGAGGCCGAAAGGCGUAGUCGAUGGGAAACGGGUUAAUAUUCCCGUACUUGGUGUUACUGCGAAGGGGGGACGGAGAAGGCUAUGUUGGCCGGGCGACGGUUGUCCCGGUUUAAGCGUGUAGGUGUGUGUUCCAGGUAAAUCCGGUUCACUUUAACACUGAGGCGUGAUGACGAGGCACUACGGUGCUGAAGCAACAAAUGCCCUGCUUCCAGGAAAAGCCUCUAAGCAUCAGGUAACAUCAAAUCGUACCCCAAACCGACACAGGUGGUCAGGUAGAGAAUACCAAGGCGCUUGAGAGAACUCGGGUGAAGGAACUAGGCAAAAUGGUGCCGUAACUUCGGGAGAAGGCACGCUGACACGUAGGUGAAGUGAUUUACUCACGGAGCUGAAGUCAGUCGAAGAUACCAGCUGGCUGCAACUGUUUAUUAAAAACACAGCACUGUGCAAACACGAAAGUGGACGUAUACGGUGUGACGCCUGCCCGGUGCCGGAAGGUUAAUUGAUGGGGUCAGCGCAAGCGAAGCUCCUGAUCGAAGCCCCGGUAAACGGCGGCCGUAACUAUAACGGUCCUAAGGUAGCGAAAUUCCUUGUCGGGUAAGUUCCGACCUGCACGAAUGGCGUAAUGAUGGCCAGGCUGUCUCCACCCGAGACUCAGUGAAAUUGAACUCGCUGUGAAGAUGCAGUGUACCCGCGGCAAGACGGAAAGACCCCGUGAACCUUUACUAUAGCUUGACACUGAACAUUGAGCCUUGAUGUGUAGGAUAGGUGGGAGGCUUUGAAGUGUGGACGCCAGUCUGCAUGGAGCCGACCUUGAAAUACCACCCUUUAAUGUUUGAUGUUCUAACGUGGACCCGUGAUCCGGGUUGCGGACAGUGUCUGGUGGGUAGUUUGACUGGGGCGGUCUCCUCCUAAAGAGUAACGGAGGAGCACGAAGGUUGGCUAAUCCUGGUCGGACAUCAGGAGGUUAGUGCAAUGGCAUAAGCCAGCUUGACUGCGAGCGUGACGGCGCGAGCAGGUGCGAAAGCAGGUCAUAGUGAUCCGGUGGUUCUGAAUGGAAGGGCCAUCGCUCAACGGAUAAAAGGUACUCCGGGGAUAACAGGCUGAUACCGCCCAAGAGUUCAUAUCGACGGCGGUGUUUGGCACCUCGAUGUCGGCUCAUCACAUCCUGGGGCUGAAGUAGGUCCCAAGGGUAUGGCUGUUCGCCAUUUAAAGUGGUACGCGAGCUGGGUUUAGAACGUCGUGAGACAGUUCGGUCCCUAUCUGCCGUGGGCGCUGGAGAACUGAGGGGGGCUGCUCCUAGUACGAGAGGACCGGAGUGGACGCAUCACUGGUGUUCGGGUUGUCAUGCCAAUGGCACUGCCCGGUAGCUAAAUGCGGAAGAGAUAAGUGCUGAAAGCAUCUAAGCACGAAACUUGCCCCGAGAUGAGUUCUCCCUGAGACUUAGAGUCUCCUGAAGGAACGUUGAAGACGACGACGUUGAUAGGCCGGGUGUGUAAGCGCAGCGAUGCGUUGAGCUAACCGGUACUAAUGAACCGUGAGGCUUAACCUUACAACGCCGAAGAUGUUUUG